RNAcentral lists this transfer RNA (93 nucleotides) under Salmo salar (Atlantic salmon). It matches the Rfam family "tRNA". From Rfam's summary of the family: Transfer RNA (tRNA) molecules are approximately 80 nucleotides in length. Their secondary structure includes four short double-helical elements and three loops (D, anti-codon, and T loops). RNAcentral also lists the same sequence under 1 other name. The record is from Rfam by way of RNAcentral. Lineage: Eukaryota; Metazoa; Chordata; Actinopteri; Salmoniformes; Salmonidae.
UUCCCUGUGGCUCAGUUGGUAGAGCAUGGUGUUUGCAAUGCCAGCAUGGUGUGUGCAACGCCAGGGUUGUGGGUUCGAUUCCCACGGGGGGCA